RNAcentral lists this non-coding RNA (23 nucleotides) under Cricetulus griseus (Chinese hamster). Lineage: Eukaryota; Metazoa; Chordata; Mammalia; Rodentia; Cricetidae. The record is from RNAcentral.
AAGUCUUUCGCUCCUAUCUGACG